RNAcentral lists this ribosomal RNA (729 nucleotides) under Cnestus mutilatus. RNAcentral describes it as "partial large subunit ribosomal RNA". It matches the Rfam family "Eukaryotic large subunit ribosomal RNA", at positions 400 to 850 of the family's 3401-position model. The record is from RNAcentral. Lineage: Eukaryota; Metazoa; Arthropoda; Insecta; Coleoptera; Curculionidae.
UGAAACCGUUUAGGGGUAAACCUGAGAAACCCGAAAGGUCGAAGAGAGAAAUUCAUUCGCGUUUCGACGUAGGCGUCGAACGGGGUUGCGUGACGAAACUCGUCGUUUUUCCGGACGUUCGUGUUUUGCACCCUUCGUUCUUCGAACCGACGACGAACGCGUGCACUUUUCUCUUGGUAGGACGUCGCGAUUCGUUGUGUGUCGAUCUACGACUUGCGGUGGAGCCCGUACGUCGUCUCGUACGUUACGUGCGGACCCGCUCGUUCCGAUCGACUCGCUCGACGAUAUACAAAAGGUCGGAGGCCGCUCGUUUAGAAGCGUUCGACUCGUCGCAAGCGCGCCACGUGCGUCGACGCGCGGACCUAGUGCCGCGUUCGACCUCUGGUGACUGUUGGCAACGAUGUUCUCGAACAGACCUCUUUUUUUUCGUUUGCCGCGAAAAAUUGACCGAUCGGCGACGCUAUAGCUUUGGGUACUUUCAGGACCCGUCUUGAAACACGGACCAAGGAGUCUAGCAUGUACGCGAGUCAUUGGGAAUCACUAAACCUAAAGGCGUAAUGAAAGUAAAGAUCUUCCUCGCGAAGAUCGAGGGAAGACGAACGUGCGAGUUCGUAAAAAAACCGUCGUUCUGCAUUCCCGGGGCGUCUCGUUCACAUCGCGUGAAGAGGCGCACCAAGAGCGUACACGCUGGGACCCGAAAGAUGGUGAACUAUGCCUGGUCAGAACGAA